GCCUCAAGAUUAGAUCCCUGUAAUCCAGUUAAUGGAGUAAGACCGCAGGUAGACCACCUGCUAUAUAGGCAACAAGUGUAAGCAUAGUAAUAUGUUGAGCUAAGUUGUACUAAUGGUCGAGGGCUGAAUCCC
This 132-nucleotide ribosomal RNA is filed under the name Anaerolineales bacterium. RNAcentral's name for it is "partial 23S ribosomal RNA". It matches the Rfam family "Bacterial large subunit ribosomal RNA", at positions 2796 to 2925 of the family's 2925-position model. The record is from RNAcentral. Lineage: Bacteria; Bacillati; Chloroflexota; Anaerolineae; Anaerolineales.